This 1316-nucleotide ribosomal RNA is filed under the name metagenome. RNAcentral describes it as "bacterial SSU rRNA". It matches the Rfam family "Bacterial small subunit ribosomal RNA", at positions 158 to 1498 of the family's 1533-position model. The record is from RNAcentral.
GAUCGUUAAUACCGCAUAACAUAAUUGAACCGCAUGAUUUGAUUAUCAAAGAUUUAUCGCUGAAAGAUGAGCUCGCGUCUGAUUAGCUAGUUGGUAAGGUAACGGCUUACCAAGGCGACGAUCAGUAGCCGGACUGAGAGGUUGAUCGGCCACAUUGGGACUGAGACACGGCCCAGACUCCUACGGGAGGCAGCAGUGGGGAAUAUUGCACAAUGGAGGAAACUCUGAUGCAGCGAUGCCGCGUGAGGGAAGAAGGUUUUAGGAUUGUAAACCUCUGUCUUCAGGGACGAAAAAAGACGGUACCUGAGGAGGAAGCUCCGGCUAACUACGUGCCAGCAGCCGCGGUAAUACGUAGGGAGCGAGCGUUGUCCGGAAUUACUGGGUGUAAAGGGAGCGUAGGCGGGAUCGCAAGUCAGAUGUGAAAACUAUGGGCUUAACCCAUAAACUGCAUUUGAAACUGUGGUUCUUGAGUGAAGUAGAGGUAAGCGGAAUUCCUAGUGUAGUGGUGAAAUGCGUAGAUAUUAGGAGGAACAUCAGUGGCGAAGGCGGCUUACUGGGCUUUAACUGACGCUGAGGCUCGAAAGCGUGGGGAGCAAACAGGAUUAGAUACCCUGGUAGUCCACGCCGUAAACGAUGAUUACUAGGUGUGGGGGGACUGACCCCUUCCGUGCCGCAGCAAACGCAAUAAGUAAUCCACCUGGGGAGUACGACCGCAAGGUUGAAACUCAAAGGAAUUGACGGGGGCCCGCACAAGCAGUGGAGUAUGUGGAUUAAUUCGAAGCAACGCGAAGAACCUUACCAGGUCUUGACAUCGUAUGCAUAGCUCAGAGAUGAGUGAAAUCUCUUCGGAGACAUAUAGACAGGUGGUGCAUGGUUGUCGUCAGCUCGUGUCGUGAGAUGUUGGGUUAAGUCCCGCAACGAGCGCAACCCUUACUGUUAGUUGCUACGCAAGAGCACUCUAGCAGGACUGCCGUUGACAAAACGGAGGAAGGUGGGGAUGACGUCAAAUCAUCAUGCCCCUAUGACCUGGGCCUCACACGUACUACAAUGGCUGUCAACAGAGGGAAGCAAAGCCGCGAGGUGGAGCGAACCCCUAAAAGCAGUCUUAGUUCGGAUUGUAGGCUGCAACCCGCCUACAUGAAGUCGGAAUUGCUAGUAAUCGCAGAUCAGCAUGCUGCGGUGAAUACGUUCCCGGGCCUUGUACACACCGCCCGUCACGCCAUGGGAGUCGGUAACACCCGAAGCCUGUAGUCUAACCGCAAGGAGGACGCAGUCGAAGGUGGGAUUGAUGACUGGGGUGAAGUCGUAACAAGGUA